RNAcentral lists this ribosomal RNA (253 nucleotides) under uncultured bacterium. RNAcentral's name for it is "partial 16S ribosomal RNA". It matches the Rfam family "Bacterial small subunit ribosomal RNA", at positions 524 to 776 of the family's 1533-position model. The record is from RNAcentral.
UACGAAGGGUGCAAGCGUUACUCGGAAUUACUGGGCGUAAAGCGUGUGUAGGUGGUGAGUUAAGUCUGUCGUGAAAGCCCCGGGCUCAACCUGGGAAUGGCGAUGGAUACUGGCUCGCUAGAGUGCGGUAGAGGAGAGUGGAAUUCCCGGUGUAGCAGUGAAAUGCGUAGAGAUCGGGAGGAACAUCAGUUGCGAAGGCGGCUCUCUGGACCAGCACUGACACUGAGGCACGAAAGCGUGGGGAGCAAACAGG